UACAGAGGGGGCAAGCGUUAUUCGGAAUUAUUGGGCGUAAAGGGCGCGUAGGCGGCCUGACAAGUGGAAGGUGAAAUCCCUCGGCUUAACCGAGGAACUGCCCUCCAAACUGUCUGGCUUGAGACCGGGAGAGGUGAGUGGAAUUCCCAGUGUAGCGGUGAAAUGCGUAGAUAUCGUAAGGAAGACCAGUGGCGAAGGCGGGUCUCUGGACAGUUCCUGACGCUGAGGCACGAAGGUCAGGGGAGCAAACGGG
This 253-nucleotide ribosomal RNA is filed under the name uncultured bacterium. RNAcentral describes it as "partial 16S ribosomal RNA". It matches the Rfam family "Bacterial small subunit ribosomal RNA", at positions 524 to 776 of the family's 1533-position model. The record is from RNAcentral.